GCUGCUUCAGUCACGCAAUCGUUAACCUGCUCCUCGAGUGCUUUCACCUUUGCUUUCGUAACAUAGAUAACGCUCAAUAUUUCCAUGAAUCUGCGCUCUAAGGUAGUAAUGGUUUACCUUAACUCUAUCUCGACAUGCAUACACCCCUCCAAGCUAUUUCAGAUUUUCUCAAUCUCUUCAAGAGUGUGCCCCUCAAGAACGUUAAGGGUCCCAUCCAUUUUCCUCAAAUGUUGGAC
RNAcentral lists this long non-coding RNA (236 nucleotides) under Capsicum annuum. RNAcentral describes it as "long non-coding RNA (CANN_LNC001675)". The record is from RNAcentral. Lineage: Eukaryota; Viridiplantae; Streptophyta; Magnoliopsida; Solanales; Solanaceae.